CAGUCGUACCUGCGGGUAAUCAGCCUUUUGGGCAUGAUUCUGUGGAGCGUGAGGAGUUAAACGCCUUCAUGCCUGCAUAUUCGUGUACUUUGGGUGUACUUGCCUGUGUGGUUAGUUAACAUCAAUUUUGGUUAUCAUAAAAUGGUUGGAGGAAUGUAGCUUCGAUUUCGAUUGAAGUGUUAUAGCCUUCGGCAGAUGUGAUGAUCGGGAUUGAGGAUUACAACGGAUACCCUUCGGGGCUACCUGUCUGGUCUCUGAUCGUUGCUCUGGUGCCGAAAGCGUGCUUACGGUUAUCAAAGUCGAUGGUCAACAGGUUAGAACGGGUUAAA
Molecule: ribosomal RNA, 329 nt
Filed under: uncultured Glomeromycotina
Lineage: Eukaryota; Fungi; Glomeromycota
Description: eukaryotic LSU rRNA
Source: RNAcentral